RNAcentral lists this ribosomal RNA (460 nucleotides) under uncultured bacterium. RNAcentral describes it as "partial 16S ribosomal RNA". It matches the Rfam family "Bacterial small subunit ribosomal RNA", at positions 338 to 795 of the family's 1533-position model. The record is from RNAcentral.
CCUACGGGUGACAGCAGUGAGGAAUAUUGGUCAAUGGACGAGAGUCUGAACCAGCCAAGUAGCGUGAAGGAUGACUGCCCUAUGGGUUGUAAACUUCUUUUAUAUGGGAAUAAAACGUUCCACGUGUGGGAUUUUGUAUGUACCAUAUGAAUAAGGAUCGGCUAACUCCGUGCCAGCAGCCGCGGUAAUACGGAGGAUCCGAGCGUUAUCCGGAUUUAUUGGGUUUAAAGGGAGCGUAGGUGGAUUGUUAAGUCAGUGGUGAAAGUUUGCGGAUCAACCGUAAAAUUGCAGUUGAAACUGGCAGUCUUGAGUGCAGUAGAGGUGGGCGGAAUUCGUGGUGUAGCGGUGAAAUGCUUAGAUAUCACGAAGAACUCCGAUUGCGAAGGCAGUUCACUGGACUGCAACUGACACUGAGGCUCGAAAGUGUGGGUAUCAAACAGGAUUAGAUACCCCAGUAGUC